GGCGAGUGAAGCGGCAACAGCUCAAAUUUGAAAUCUGGCGUCUUUGGCGUCCGAGUUGUAAUUUGCAGAGGGCGCUUUGGCAUUGGCAGCGGUCCAAGUUCCUUGGAACAGGACGUCACAGAGGGUGAGAAUCCCGUACGUGGUCGCUAGCCUUUACCGUGUAAAGCCCCUUCGACGAGUCGAGUUGUUUGGGAAUGCAGCUCUAAAUGGGAGGUAAAUUUCUUCUAAAGCUAAAUACUGGCCAGAGACCGAUAGCGCACAAGUAGAGUGAUCGAAAGAUGAAAAGCACUUUGGAAAGAGAGUUAAAAAGCACGUGAAAUUGUUGAAAGGGAAGCGCUUGCAGCCAGACUUGCCUGUAGUUGCUCAUCCGGGUUUUUACCCGGUGCACUCUUCUAUAGGCAGGCCAGCAUCAGUUUGGGCGGUUGGAUAAAGGUCUCUGUCAUGUACCUCUCUUCGGGGAGAACUUAUAGGGGAGACGACAUGCAACCAGCCUGGACUGAGGUCCGCGCAUCUGCUAGGAUGCUGGCGUAAUGGCUGUAAGCGGCCCGUCUUGAAACACGGACCAAGGAGUCUAACAUCUAUGC
RNAcentral lists this ribosomal RNA (584 nucleotides) under Phoma herbarum. RNAcentral's name for it is "LSU rRNA". It matches the Rfam family "Eukaryotic large subunit ribosomal RNA", at positions 88 to 687 of the family's 3401-position model. Lineage: Eukaryota; Fungi; Ascomycota; Dothideomycetes; Pleosporales; Didymellaceae. The record is from RNAcentral.